This 118-nucleotide ribosomal RNA is filed under the name uncultured bacterium. Its description in RNAcentral is "partial 16S ribosomal RNA". It matches the Rfam family "Bacterial small subunit ribosomal RNA", at positions 1365 to 1482 of the family's 1533-position model. The record is from RNAcentral.
AAUACGUUCCCGGGUCUUGUACACACCGCCCGUCACACCAAGGGAGCGGGUUUUACCAGAAGUAGGUAGCUUAACCGCAAGGGGGGCGCUUACCACGGUAGGAUUCGUGACUGGGGUG